UCCAGUACAACUAUUGUGCGUCACAAAAAAAACGAACACGUGACCACGUGGGAUGGGAGCCGAAGGACGCUGCCGCGAGCGGCCCACUUUGGCGCGCUCAGAGAGCUCGCGAGGGAGGUGCGAACGCACCUCUUUGUCUUUUUUUUUCUUUUUUUUUUCCCGGACCCGGUGCGGUGGAAACGGACGUUCGUGAUAAAAAAAGGCUUUUCAACUGGAAUAUUAGCCCUUUCCUCGUCAGUUUUCCUGACUGUCUUGUUCCUUGCUAGCAAAGCCAAGCGACCGCACCUGCUGUUGAUCAGCAUGACCACAGUUAUAAAGGGAAUGCCUCCAGACAGGGUUGUGGAAUCUUACAACGCUGGUCUGCCUGGCUUGUGAUUCAGCGGCCUACUCUCUACUCCCUACUCCCAGCUUCUGACCCCUGCUUGCUGACUCGGUUACUGAGAUCUACUUUGCCCUGGAAAACGACGUCCGCACCUCGGGAGACCCACACCUGUCCCCGACCUCCGUUCUCUGUCUCAUCCCAUGACUGCACCAAAAUAAAUGUACCCGCACUUGGGUCCA
Long non-coding RNA from Scleropages formosus (Asian bonytongue), 561 nucleotides. RefSeq lists it as uncharacterized. The record is from RefSeq and is a predicted model, not a curated record. The transcript is spliced from 3 exons. Lineage: Eukaryota; Metazoa; Chordata; Actinopteri; Osteoglossiformes; Osteoglossidae.